Molecule: ribosomal RNA, 301 nt
Filed under: uncultured bacterium
Lineage: Bacteria
Description: partial 16S ribosomal RNA
Rfam family: Bacterial small subunit ribosomal RNA
Source: RNAcentral
CAGUCGCCACGGUAACACGUAGGGUGCAAGCGUUAAUCGGAAUUACUGGGCGUAAAGCGUGCGCAGGCGGUUUCGUAAGACAGAUGUGAAAUCCCCGGGCUUAACCUGGGAACUGCAUUUGUGACUGCGAGGCUAGAGUGUGUCAGAGGGGGGUGGAAUUCCGCGUGUAGCAGUGAAAUGCGUAGAUAUGCGGAGGAACACCGAUGGCGAAGGCAAUCCCCUGGACCUGUACUGACGCUCAUGCACGAAAGCGUGGGGAGCAAACAGGAUUAGAUACCCGUGUAGUCCCUGUCUCUUAUAC